UAGUACAACCGAGGUGCGGAGGGCUGUCGCUGACUUUUUGUCGUGCACGCCCGAAGCGCUCUCACACAAUAUCCAUCUCACCCAUUUGUGCAUCAUCGCGUGGGUCCUGCUUUUUGGCUUGUUCCGAGGAGGGGGGCUCGCGUUUUCACACAAAACUCGAUACAGUGUAGAAUGUUAUCUUUUGCGGUCACACGCAAUCAAUA
Molecule: unclassified non-coding RNA, 203 nt
Filed under: uncultured Russula
Lineage: Eukaryota; Fungi; Basidiomycota; Agaricomycetes; Russulales; Russulaceae
Description: sequence contains ITS1
Source: RNAcentral